Molecule: ribosomal RNA, 1353 nt
Filed under: Triticum aestivum (bread wheat)
Lineage: Eukaryota; Viridiplantae; Streptophyta; Magnoliopsida; Poales; Poaceae
Description: partial small subunit ribosomal RNA
Source: RNAcentral
AUGAAUCGGUUGGAGGGAUCACAUGGAUGGGAGACACAGAUGGAGCAAGUAAAAGUAUGCAUUAAGAUAGGGGUACAGUGCAUGGAGUCGGACCGAAAGAAGAGGCCUGUUGCACGUCAUAUAAUUGACAGGCUUGAUGACACAGCAAAUACCGUCGAAGCUGGUAUCAAUAGUUCAUCAGUUGACGACCAGGUUGGUUUUCUAAAGGAACAAUAUUGUGAAGAGAAAAUUGCAGAUCUUUCAUCUGAGUACAUGGGAAAGGGUAUCAGGGAAUCCUCUGAAACAGAAGAACUCGCGGAACAUGUUGGGACACUAAGAGAAGAACAUUGGCAGCAAGAACAAGAAGAUGCUCCAGUUGAUCUAUGGUCAUCAUGCUGGGAACAGCAAUAUACGGAGCAACAAGGUGCAAGCAUUUCUAGCUCUAACUCUGGUGUGUUUCAUAAGUUGAAGAAUCUGGACAUCUUCGGCAGAAAAGCACCCAGGGAUCUUUACUCGAGGAAGGGUGGGCCUAGAUUGGACUUUCCAAAUUUGAGAAAGUUCAAACAGGGUGAGCUUGAGCCAAUUUUGAAGUAUGAGAAUCUUAUUAUAAAAGAUGUCUUUGGAGAAGUUUACAGAGGCCUUGUCUGCAAUGUACCAAUAACAGUUAGGAAGCUGAUUAGUGAAACUGAAUGUUUAGAUGAAAUCGUAAUCCAGUCUCAAGUCAUUCACAAAAACAUAGUUAGGCUCAGAGGCUGUUGCCUUGAAUUUGACAACCACAUGCUAGUCUAUGACUUCCUCUCCACGGAUAGCCUGCAUGACAUUCUUCACAUCAACGUCGAGGUGCCUCUCAACCUUGGCGUGCGAUUAAGUAUUGCUGCAGCAUCAGCAGGUGCGCUAGCUUAUGCGCAUUCAAAGGCGAGUAUCAAACUUCUCCAUGGUGAUCUUAAACCAGCAAAUAUACUCUUCAAUGGCAACUUUGUGCCAAAGAUCUUUGGCUUUGGCCUGUCAAGGAUGGCUGGCAGCCAAAUCAUUCCUGACAUAUCUUAUAUGGAUCCGGUAUACCUAGAAACAGGCCGGCUAACUAAAAAAAGUGAUGUCUACAGUUUUGGACUUAUCAUCUUGGAGCUUCUUACAAGGAAGAAGGCAACAAAUCCUGACAAUAACAGCUUAGUAAGGAAUUUCCUUGAGAAUCACAAGCAUGGGAGGAAAUCAACCGAAUUUUUUGACAAGGAAAUUGCAGUGACAGGAGAUUUGGCGCUCCUUGACAAUCUGGCAGAUAUUGCUGGGGAGUGUCUUAUCCUUGAUGUGGACCUAAGACCGGGAAUGAAAGAGGUUGAACGGCGCAUUGUGCUGAUUCAAUCCCGUAAGUUGUGA